CAAAGAUGCGAGGCAGAGACAAAACCAGCUGAAUUAUGAGCAAGUGAAUAGGGAAAGAGAAAUUUGAUGUUAUGGUACAAACAAGUGAAUUGAAAGAAAUGCCUUCAGACAGUUAUGGCAUUUAUCUGAGAAUUUAUCUGAGAAAAUGAAACCAUGACCCAAAAAAAAAAAAAAACAGGCAAAAAAAAAUCUGGUGAGACAACCAUAUUUAAAGAAUUAAUUGCCUGGAAAAAAUGAUCUGUUUUUUCUUCCUUUCUCCCUAUGCUUCUUCCCCAGUCUGAUAAUGCCCAUUGAAACAAACAAAACAAAACAAAAACAAACAAGAACAACAGCAAACUCUUUCAUAAAUCUGAAAUGAACAGUCAAAAAGCAGUUAUUUAAAAUGUUCAGAAUCUGAAAGGUCAGUCUCUUUACCAACUUUACACAGAACCUGGCCUUAGAAGACACUUGGAAAACAGUCCUGCAACUUGUCAUGGUAUUGUUUUCUGCAGCUGAACAUCAUUAUCAGAUAAAGACAUCUUUUCCCAAUGAGUUCUUGUCAAGGCUGUGAUGUUGCCUGCAGUGACUACAGCUUUAUUGUAAACAUCACAGGAAAGUGAAAUGUAUGGUCUUAAAGAUGUAUUCUUAUGAAUAUAGUCAUGGUUGUUCUGAGCAUAUGCUGUAUAUCCAAAGGACAUCUGUGAUGAAUAUCUCCCAGGUGAUAAUUGUAUAAAGGACCCUCUGCUCUGAAAGGAACAGCUCCAUCACUGAAAGGUCACAACCACACACUCAGAGCGGUCUCUGCCCUCUUCCACCCCUCAGCUCACUUCUGCUUUCUGCAGCUCUCUGCUUCUCCUCAGCCAUGCACCAAGCUCCAUUUUCAACCCAUCACAAACCAGUUGUUUCUCAGGGUUACGAGGCUUCCAUGAGUUUCCUUAUUCACAUUCCUGGCAAGGAAUGGUCUUUGCUCAGUGUUCAGAAGAUGAAAUGAAAAAAAAACUACAACAACAACAAACCAC
Molecule: long non-coding RNA, 998 nt
Filed under: Anser brachyrhynchus (Pink-footed goose)
Lineage: Eukaryota; Metazoa; Chordata; Aves; Anseriformes; Anatidae
Description: lncRNA (ENSABRG00000014905.1)
Source: RNAcentral